CCCUUAGAUGUUCUGGGCCGCGCGCGCGCUACACUGAUGCAUUCAACGAGUCUAAAACCUGCUCUGAUAGGGGUGGGUAAUCUUUUGAAUGUGCAUCGUGAUUGGGAUAGAUGAUUGAAAUUUUUCAUCUUCAACGAGGAAUGCCUAGUAAACGCAAGUCAUCAGCUUGCAUUGAUUACGUCCCUGCCCUUUGUACACACCGCCCGUCGCUCCUACCGAUUGAAUGAUCCGAUGAAUAUCAUGGAUUGAGGAUGCAAGUAGGUUCACCUAUCUUCAUCUUCGAGAAGUGAAGUAAAUCUUAUCAUUUAGAGGAAGGAGAAGUCGUAACA
This 329-nucleotide ribosomal RNA is filed under the name uncultured eukaryote. RNAcentral describes it as "partial 18S ribosomal RNA". It matches the Rfam family "Eukaryotic small subunit ribosomal RNA", at positions 1470 to 1796 of the family's 1831-position model. The record is from RNAcentral.